GUGGGUCCCAUCCUGGGGGGUGCAGGAGGGAGCUCCAUGUGCCCCUGCUGAUCUGCCCAUCUGAGCCUCAGGGGUCCUGGGCACUGAGAGCUGGGCUGGGCUCAGCGGGGGUAUGCAUUGACAUUGGGGACAGAGAGGGGAUGCUGAAGCGGGUGCUGUCUGGGUGGGGCCUGCCUGAUCGACCCAGCAGGUGCACCCAGCAGCCGGAGGUGCUUCUAGCAGAGUGAACGCCCUGUCCUUAGGGGCAUGUGAGCUGAGGCUGGGGGCCUGGAGCUGCAGGGGGAGGAAUUGGGGAGAGCAGAGGUCCCAAAGAUGUCCCAAGGCCCCAAGACCCUGGUGAAGGAAUGGAGGAGCCAGCAUUGGUCGGCGAGAGGGGAGUGGGAGUUGGAUGGCCUGGCUCUGGGCUGGACACACGGUUUGCAGCCACAGCUGAGCUGUGCUGUGGAGCCCAGUUCCCACCUGGGCAUGUCCUGUCCUCUGAGGCUUCCGGGAGCCGGACGGCCACCGCGGUGCAGGCGCGCACUCAAGGGCUUUCGAGGCUCACUCUGUCGGAGAGGUCAGAGACUGAGUGUCGCUGCUGAAGGCUGUGGUGGACCGGGCUGGAUCGCGGAUUCUAGGUUAGAUCGCAGAUUUGGGAUCGCGGAUUGGGGAUUGGAUUGGGGAUUUGGGGUUGGAUCAGGGAUGUGGGGGCUGGAUAGGGGAUUUGAGGAUUGGAUCGGGGAUUUGGGGUUGGAUCCUGGAUUUGGGGCCGGGUCGGCGGUGGGGGGCAGUGAAAAGGUGACAGAGAGCAGCCCCUGCUCAGGAGCCGGUGGUUGGGGGUCUGAGAAGUCACCACCACCAAGAAGUUCUUCGGCUUCGGGAGCCGCGGGGGCGAGAUGGCCCGGGCUCCAUAGACCACGUCUGCACGGUUCCGGGUACCGAAUCCGGGACGCGGAACAGCGGAAAAUCCAAGGGCGGCUGUCAAGGACCGGAGGUGGAGCGCGGCCUGGAGCGCAGGAGCCGGAGACCUGGAGGCCCGGGACAAGCAGCACAGAACUGCUCUACAUUUGGCCUGUGCCAGCGGCCAUGUGGAAGUGGUCACUCUCCUGGUGAACAGACAAUGCCAAAUUGACAUCUGUGACAAAGAAAAGAGUGUGCCUUUGAUACAGGCACAGGCUGUGCAUUGCCAAGAAGAGGCUUGUGCCAUUAUUCUGCUGGAACGUGGCGCCAAUCCAAACCUUAAGGAUGUCUACAGCAACACUGCUCUCCAGUAUGCUGUGUAUAGUGAGAGCACAUCACUGGCAAAAAAACUGCUUUCCCAUGAUGCAAAUACUGAAGCACUGGACAAGGUUUAUUCCUUUUUUUCCUAAUUAGUGUAAAACAACACAAGAAAGAAAAUAUGCCCUGGAAAUAGGCUUUAUCUUAAAACUCAAACAAGACUAAAGCAACUUAAAAUAAAUGGACAUCUUGCUGCUGCUGACAAUUUUCUAACAAACUGACGUAUCAUCUCUCAGUGGCAAGGCUUAAGAGGGAGAAAUGGGAAGGGAAAAGGAGAGCAAUAAGAAAUAUGCAGGUCAAUUGGAAAUUAGGUCAUGAGGGAAAAUGCCAAGAAGAGUUUUUUUUCUUAGUUUGUUGUUCUUCUAGUUUAUGUGUUGAGACAAGGUGCUCUUUAGCUUUGGGUCUAAUAAUUUUUGGUUUGAAAAUGAGAGUGAGUUGAAACUUGCCUAUGGAUUAAUUUUAGGAGGACUCUGAGGAAACCAGAUUGGCAGUGAAUAUGUGGUGACAAAGUGAGAAACACUUUAGCAGAAGGCGGAACAAAUUAACUUGUGGGAAGUCGGGGUCCCCAAACGGAGGGACCGGCUGAAGCUGUGGCAGAAGAAUAUAAAUUGUGAAGAUUUCAUGGACAUUUAUUAGUUCCCAAAAUUAACACUUUUAUAAUUUAAUACGCCUGUCUUUACUGCAGUCUCUGAACAUAAAUUGUGAGGAUUUCAUGGCCAUUUAUCACUUCCCCAAUCAAUACUCUUAUAAUUUCCUAUGCCUAUCUUUAAUCUCUUAAUCCCAUCAUCUUCGUCAGCUGAGGAUAUAUGUCACCUCAGGACCCUGUGAUGAUUGUGUUAACUGUACAAAUUGUAAAACAUGCGUGUUUGAACAAUAUGAAAUCAGGACACCCUGAAAAAGAACAGAGUAACAGUGAUUUUCAGGGAACAAGGAAAGAUAACCAUAAGGUCUGACUGCCUGUGGGGAUGGGCAAAAUAGAGUCAUAUUUUUCUUCUCACAGAGAGCUUAUAGAUGGACGUGUGAGUAGGAGAAAUAUUGCUGAAUUCUUUUCCCAGCAAGGAAUAUUAAUAAUUGAUAAUCCUGGGGAAGGAAUGCAUUCCCAGGGGUAGGCCUGUAGACGACCACUCUGGGAUUGUCUGUCUUAUGCAGUUGAGAUAAGGGAUGAAAUACACCCUGUUCUCCUGCAGUGUCCUCAGGCUUACUAGGAUUGGGAAAUUCCAGCCUGGUGAACUCUAGUCAGACCGGUUGUCUGCUCUCCAACCCAGUUUCCUUUUAAGAUGUUUAUCAAGACAAUACAUGCCCAGAGGGACAUGGACCCUCAUCAGUAAUUCUAAUUUCACCCUUGCCUUGUGAUCCUGCUCUGCCCUUUUGCCUUGUGAUCUUUUAUUGCCCUUUGAAGCAUGUGAUCUCUGUGACCCACUCCCUAUUCGUACACCCCUCCGCUUUUGAAAUCCCUAAUAAAAACUUGCUGGUUUUGCAGCUCGGGGUCGCCAUCACAGUCCUACCAAUAUGUGAUGACACCCCCGGAGGACCAGCUGU
Molecule: long non-coding RNA, 2796 nt
Organism: Homo sapiens (human)
Lineage: Eukaryota; Metazoa; Chordata; Mammalia; Primates; Hominidae
Source: Ensembl